AUACUAAGCUUUUAUUAUAUAAGAUGUAUUUUUGGAAUAGGGAGAUGGAAUAGGAGCUUGCUCCAUCCACUGCAUGCAUCAACCGGGUACUGCAGUACCUCCGGGAAUGGUGCACACACA
RNAcentral lists this small nuclear RNA (120 nucleotides) under Myotis davidii. RNAcentral describes it as "U2 spliceosomal RNA". It matches the Rfam family "U2 spliceosomal RNA", at positions 73 to 192 of the family's 192-position model. Rfam says of the family: U2 is a small nuclear RNA (snRNA) component of the spliceosome (involved in pre-mRNA splicing). Complementary binding between U2 snRNA (in an area lying towards the 5' end but 3' to hairpin I) and the branchpoint sequence (BPS) of the intron results the bulging out of an unpaired adenosine, on the BPS, which initiates a nucleophilic attack at the intronic 5' splice site, thus starting the first of two transesterification reactions that mediate splicing. Lineage: Eukaryota; Metazoa; Chordata; Mammalia; Chiroptera; Vespertilionidae. The record is from Rfam by way of RNAcentral.